UCCUCCCUCUUUCUUCGUGCUUAACACAUGCAAGUCGAACGGAAAGGCCCUGCUUUUGUGGGGUGCUCGAGUGGCGAACGGGUGAGUAACACGUGAGUAACCUGCCCUUGACUUUGGGAUAACUUCAGGAAACUGGGGCUAAUACCGGAUAGGAACUCCUGCUGCAUGGUGGGGGUUGGAAAGUUUCGGCGGUUGGGGAUGGACUCGCGGCUUAUCAGCUUGUUGGUGGGGUAGUGGCUUACCAAGGCUUUGACGGGUAGCCGGCCUGAGAGGGUGACCGGCCACAUUGGGACUGAGAUACGGCCCAGACUCCUACGGGAGGCAGCAGUGGGGAAUAUUGCACAAUGGGCGGAAGCCUGAUGCAGCAACGCCGCGUGCGGGAUGACGGCCUUCGGGUUGUAAACCGCUUUCGCCUGUGACGACGCGUGAGUGACGGUAAUGGGUAAAGAAGCACCGGCUAACUACGUG
Molecule: ribosomal RNA, 468 nt
Filed under: uncultured bacterium
Lineage: Bacteria
Description: partial 16S ribosomal RNA
Rfam family: Bacterial small subunit ribosomal RNA
Source: RNAcentral